This 515-nucleotide ribosomal RNA is filed under the name uncultured bacterium. RNAcentral describes it as "bacterial SSU rRNA". It matches the Rfam family "Bacterial small subunit ribosomal RNA", at positions 501 to 1017 of the family's 1533-position model. The record is from RNAcentral.
CUACGUGCCAGCAGCCGCGGUAAUACGGGGGGUGCGAGCGUUAAUCGGAAUAACUGGGCGUAAAGGGCACGCAGGCGGUGACUUAAGUGAGAUGUGAAAGCCCCGAGCUUAACUUGGGAAUUGCAUUUCAUACUGGGUCGCUAGAGUACUUUAGGGAGGGGUAGAAUUCCACGUGUAGCGGUGAAAUGCGUAGAGAUGUGGAGGAAUACCGAAGGCGAAGGCAGCCCCUUGGGAAUGUACUGACGCUCAUGUGCGAAAGCGUGGGGAGCAAACAGGAUUAGAUACCCUGGUAGUCCACGCUGUAAACGAUGUCGAUUUGGGGAUUGGGCUUUGAGCUUGGUGCCCGUAGCUAACGUGAUAAAUCGGCCGCCUGGGGAGUACGGCCGCAAGGUUAAAACUCAAAUGAAUUGACGGGGGCCCGCACAAGCGGUGGAGCAUGUGGUUUAAUUCGAUGCAACGCGAAGAACCUUACCUACUCUUGACAUCCAUGGAAUCUUGUAGAGAUACGAGAGUGC